Molecule: ribosomal RNA, 497 nt
Filed under: uncultured bacterium
Lineage: Bacteria
Description: partial 16S ribosomal RNA
Rfam family: Bacterial small subunit ribosomal RNA
Source: RNAcentral
GAUGAACGCUGGCGGCGUGCCUAAUACAUGCAAGUUGAGCGAACGGACGAGAAGCUUGCUUCUCUGAUGUUAGCGGCGGACGGGUGAGUAACACGUGGAUAACCUACCUAUAAGACUGGGAUAACUUCGGGAAACCGGAGCUAAUACCGGAUAAUAUUUUGAACCGCAUGGUUCAAAAGUGAAAGACGGUCUUGCUGUCACUUAUAGAUGGAUCCGCGCUGCAUUAGCUAGUUGGUAAGGUAACGGCUUACCAAGGCAACGAUGCAUAGCCGACCUGAGAGGGUGAUCGGCCACACGGGAACUGAGACACGGUCCAGACUCCUACGGGAGGCAGCAGUAGGGAAUCUUCCGCAAUGGGCGAAAGCCUGACGGAGCAACGCCGCGUGAGUGAUGAAGGUCUUCGGAUCGUAAAACUCUGUUAUUAGGGAAGAACAUAUGUGUAAGUAACUGUGCACAUCUUGACGGUACCUAAUCAGAAAGCCACGGCUAACUACGUG